Molecule: ribosomal RNA, 425 nt
Filed under: uncultured bacterium
Lineage: Bacteria
Description: partial 16S ribosomal RNA
Rfam family: Bacterial small subunit ribosomal RNA
Source: RNAcentral
GUGGGGAAUCUUGCGCAAUGGGCGAAAGCCUGACGCAGCCAUGCCGCGUGGAUGAUGAAGGUCUUAGGAUUGUAAAAUCCUUUCACCGGUGAAGAUAAUGACUGUAGCCGGAGAAGAAGCCCCGGCUAACUUCGUGCCAGCAGCCGCGGUAAUACGAAGGGGGCUAGCGUUGCUCGGAAUUACUGGGCGUAAAGGGAGCGUAGGCGGACAUUUAAGUCAGGGGUGAAAUCCCGAGGCUCAACCUCGGAACUGCCUUUGAUACUGGGUGUCUUGAGUGUGAGAGAGGUGAGUGGAACUCCGAGUGUAGAGGUGAAAGUCGUAGAUAUUCGGAAGAACACCAGUGGCGAAGGCGACUCACUGGCUCAUUACUGACGCUGAGGCUCGAAAGCGUGGGGAGCAAACAGGAUUAGAAACCCGAGUAGUCC